AUGAACUCCGGAGCCAAGAGGAUCCACAGUAAAGGAUCUUUCCAGGCAGGUGGAAUGCAAAUAAAAAAUGAUAAAAGCAGACUAUCUUUGAAAUCUCUGAAAACUGAUAACAGAUCAGAAAAAAUCAAAAUAUAAACCACUUCGGGGAAAAGUAUUGUGCCUUGACUUACCUUCUGUCACCAAAUCUGAAAAACUGCAAAAGGACAUUAAGGAUCUGGGAGAGAGAGUUGAAGAAUUUCUCAGCAAAGAUAUCAGUUAUUUUAUUUCAAAUAAGAAGGAAGCUAAAUUUGCACAAACCUUGGGUCAAAUUUCUCCUGUACAAAGUCCAGAAUGUGCAUAUACUGCAGAAACCACAUCACCUCAUCCCAGCCAUGUUGGAGGUUCAUUUAAGUCACCAGACACAGUCUUUUUAUAUGUGUGUUUAAGCAGAGGAAAAUUACUAAUUGAAUGGGCUUUCAAGGACCAUGAUUUUAUUCCUUCAAAUAGUGUAUUAACAAAUGCCGUAUCACAGGGAUUAAAAAAUUCUUCAUGUUGAUUACAUUGGAUGCUACAUUGAACAAAAGAAAACAAAAGUUGUAUUUACUCAAGAAAUUAAGUACUUCAGUAAGUAAGGGAUGCAGGGAAAAGAGUUGGUACUGGUGCACAAAAAAAUCAAGAACAGGAAGACUCAAAAAGCCUUUCAUAAAGGUAGAAGAUAUGAGCCAACUUUGUAGGCCAUUUUAUCUUUAGCUGACCAAUAUGCCUUUUAUAAAUUAUUCUAUACAGAAGCCCUGCAGUCCAUUUGAUGUAGAAAAGCCAUCUAGUAUGCAAAAGCAAACACAGGUUAAACUAAGAAUCCAAAUGGAUGGUGAUAAAUAUGGUGGAACCUUAAUUCAACUCGAGCUGAAAGAGAAGAAAAAAGGAUAUUGUGAAUGUUGCUUGCAGAAAUAUGAAGAUAUAGAAACUCACCUUCUAAGUGAGCAACACAGAAACAGGAUCAAGUUGUUGAUGAUAUUGUAUCUAAGUUAGUUUUUGACUUUGUGGAAUAUGAAAAGGACACACCUAAAAAGAAAAGAAUAAAAUACAAGGUUGAAUCCCUUUCUCCUGUUUCUGCAAAUGCCCUGAAAAAGACAGAACAGAAGAAAAAGUGGAAUUGCAAUAUAUUUCUCAGAAAGAUUGCUGGAAAGAUGAUAUACAGGCAAUGGAGCAGAAUUUCUUGUAUAAAGACACCCAGGGAACUGAAAAAAGCUUGUGUUUAUUUCAGAGCCCAAACCCAUCCUUCAAAUAAAUCGAGAGGACUUAGUAAGAAAACAACUAAUAAAUGUUCCAUGUUCAAUACGGCUGAAAAUGACAUAAGACAGAAUUUUAUACAGUUACCUCUAUGUAAAAACAAACAAAUGCAUUCUUGACAUUUCUGAACACACAUUAAAUGAAAAUGACUUAGAAUUACUAAGGGUAGAUUACCAUUGUUGUAGCAUACAGGCAUCUGUACAUGUUUCCGAUUUCAAUACAGAUAAUAGUGCAUCUCAACCAAAACAAAAGUCAGAUACUGUGCGUUUUCCAGUAAAGGAUCUCAAGGAAAAGGACCUUCAUUCAAUAUUUGCUCAUGAUUCUGGUCUGAUAACAAUAAACAGUUCACAAGAGCACCUAACUGUUCAGGCAAAGGCUCCAUUCCAUACUUCUGAGGAACCCAAUGAAUGUGACAUCAAGCAUAUGAAUAGUUUACCUUCUGGUAAAAUACAUUGAAAAGCUAAAAUAUUGCUUUGAUGAAAUAGAAAAGAAAAUCUGGAACUAAAUGUGAAUUUGAUAAAACAACUGAUUUUAUUACACAAGAAGAAAACAGAAUUUGUAGUUCACUGGUACAGUCUUUACUAGACUUGUUUCAGACUAGUGAAGAGAAAUCAGAAUUGAGUUUCACAAGCUACACUGAAAACAGUGGUAUAGGCAAUGUUUUAGAUAUUUGGGAAGAGGGAAAUUCAAAUAAUCUGUUGAGAAUGCUUUUCUCUUCCCCUUCAACUUCUACAUUUACUGGCUUUUAGACUUUAAAAAAUGGAUACUUUUCAGAAGUGAUAAGGAUCAUAUUCUUGAAAUUUUUAUAAGUAUGUAUGGAAAUU
Non-coding RNA from Saimiri boliviensis boliviensis (Bolivian squirrel monkey), 2093 nucleotides. The record is from RefSeq and is a predicted model, not a curated record. NCBI's taxonomy places the organism in Eukaryota, Metazoa, Chordata, Mammalia, Primates, Cebidae.